RNAcentral lists this long non-coding RNA (1790 nucleotides) under Homo sapiens (human). RNAcentral's name for it is "HSALNT0241391". The record is from RNAcentral. Lineage: Eukaryota; Metazoa; Chordata; Mammalia; Primates; Hominidae.
UUCCCCACCCCUACCCAGCUGUGUGAGGACCCCUGCCACGUUCUAGCACAGCCCCUCUAUGGGAGCUGCGGGGCUGGCCUCACUCACUCUUCCUUGCUUCCCUGCAGCAGAGGGGACGUGGCUGGUGGCUGGAGAAGCUGGAUUUGCCCUUUGAUGGUGGCCCUCUUGAUCCCCGGCUUGCUGAAGUCAAAGCUGGGGUGGAGCUUUCAUCAUGUGUUCCAAACUGGGCAGGUCCAUCCUGCUGGAGGAGGCCAUGGCCAGGGAAGAUGCAAAGGCUGUGCUCUGAGGCCUGGAUGAGCUUGUUUGCCCAGAAGAGGUGCUUGGAGGUCUGCGCACUGAUGGCAGUUUGAAUUCAGACUCCACGGUCUGAAGGGCCGCAUUUAGGUUUCGGGCGGGCGGACGGGGGACGGCCCGAGUGAGGCGUCCUCCGAAGGCUGCGGGCCCGAAGCCAGAACUCCUUCCUCUCCGAAGACCUCGGGGGUGGGGCUCGCGCUUCCGCAGCGGGCCUAGAGCGAGAGGCAGGCGGCAGGUCAAGAGACUGCUCUCCUCCCCAAGCUAGGGGAACCUUCUGGGACUCCAUCAACUGACAAUGAGGGGAUAAUGGUCCCUCACUGCCCCAUCAGGAAAGGCUCAUGGGUGAUUGGGACCUCAAGUUCUGGGACCAGGCGCCUUCCUCCCUCCCACUGUGCCAGAGGAGGGGAGACAAAAUCCCUCAAUGGCUGUCUAGCUCCAGGCAGAUCAGCUGCCACGGGGACUGCUGAGCAGGUGUUCCAGCUGGAGCUUCGAGCCUCGGCCUGGCUGCUCCAGGAGUGUACGCCUGAGCUCAGGGUGUCCCGCGAGCUUUGAGAGGCCUUUGAUGGGUUCUGAAACAACAGGAUUGGGGAGAGGCUGUCGAUGCUGAGGCACGAGAGAAUUUGCUCCUGCUCCUCCAGAGAAAAUGGCUGGGACAGGCUGUUGAGGAAUAAUUCUGCAGGGAAAAGUGGAAGAUGGCUGUGAAAGACUGGGAGGAGGCUGGCUGUGUUUUCAGGGGUUCUUCCUGCACAGUCGGUAGAAGCUGAGCUGCUGGGGAAGGGGCUGGAAGAAAGCCCACACCGCAGGUGCUGCAGUUCCUGCUCCGGGACGGUUGCUUUCCGCUCUGGUGAGCUGGGGUUUCUGGCAGGGGCUGGCUCCAGGGAGGACAGAGGUAAGGGUUCCCACAUCCCAGACUCCUCCUUGCUCAAAGUCAAGGGAGGAGACUUGUUUGGCUCUGGGGGCUCUGGUGGGAGAGGAGGCUGGAGCUUAGGGGCUCUGCCUGUUGUCUCCUCAGCUGGCCGGGGCCCUGGGGCCCUUGGCGAAAGCUCUCUCGGCUGGGCAUGGAGGGUCUGGUGGUAAUUGGCUUGAUUUGGCGGUGGAUGUCUUGGUUCUUUAUAUUCUCCCCUCCAAGGGCUCUUCAGACCUCCCACUAGAAAACAGAGAGUACAAUGGUGAGGGGAAGCGUGCUGUGCACAGACAGCGGUCCAGGCAGGAGCGGCCUCUCCUGAGUGCAGAAGGGCUAGAGGUAUCAGUAGCAAAUUCAAAAACUACAGAAUCAGCUCCAGAGGACUUUGUUAACAAGAAAGAGAAGAUUGAAAACAGCCCUGGGGCUACACCAACUCAAGAGCUCCCAGGCAAAGUGGCAUCCUGGACCCACCAUCUCUCCUACCCCAUCCUCAGUCGGUACUUCCCCAGGCACCGUUUGUUCUGGCAUGGGGCUAGUUCAGCCCUGGGACCACCCUCAUCCUUAUAACUACCAGCUGUCUUUGGUGAGGUGC